GUGGCCCUCAAGUCUGCCGAGGUCUACCCCUCCUUCUGCAGCGCCUCUUGAAGACUCACAACCUCGACAAUCUUCUCCUCGAGGCAGGCGACCUCAGCGAGGUGACCUUCCUCUGCCUGGGUGGCCUCCUUCCUAGCAUCGUUCAUCGCCUCGAUGUUGGCGAUGAGCUGGUGUCCAAUCUGCAAGAGCGGCCAGGGAGUCAAUAUAAAAGCUGAAGAAUAAGCAAAGU
RNAcentral lists this long non-coding RNA (229 nucleotides) under Elaeis guineensis (African oil palm). Its description in RNAcentral is "long non-coding RNA (EGUI_LNC082538)". Lineage: Eukaryota; Viridiplantae; Streptophyta; Magnoliopsida; Arecales; Arecaceae. The record is from RNAcentral.